UAAAGCGUGCGCAGGCGGUUUUGUAAGACUGUCGUGAAAUCCCCGGGCUCAACCUGGGAAUGGCGAUGGUGACUGCAAGGCUAGAGUUUGGCAGAGGGGGGUAGAAUUCCACGUGUAGCAGUGAAAUGCGUAGAUAUGUGGAGGAACACCGAUGGCGAAGGCAGCCCCCUGGGUCAAAACUGACGCUCAUGCACGAAAGCGUGGGGAGCAAACAGGAUUAGAUACCCUUG
This 230-nucleotide ribosomal RNA is filed under the name uncultured bacterium. Its description in RNAcentral is "partial 16S ribosomal RNA". It matches the Rfam family "Bacterial small subunit ribosomal RNA", at positions 561 to 790 of the family's 1533-position model. The record is from RNAcentral.